This 465-nucleotide ribosomal RNA is filed under the name uncultured bacterium. RNAcentral describes it as "partial 16S ribosomal RNA". It matches the Rfam family "Bacterial small subunit ribosomal RNA", at positions 28 to 507 of the family's 1533-position model. The record is from RNAcentral.
GACGAACGCUGGCGGCGUGCUUAACACAUGCAAGUCGAACGGAAAGGCCCCUUUGGGGGUCCUCGAGUGGCGAACGGGUGAGUAACACGUGAGUAACCUGCCCUUGACUUCGGGAUAACUUCAGGAAACUGGGGCUAAUACCGGAUAGGAAUCCUUGCUGCAUGGUGGGGGUUGGAAAGCUUCGGCGGUUUUGGAUGGACUCGCGGCUUAUCAGCUUGUUGGUGGGGUAGUGGGUUACCAAGGCUUUGACGGGUAGCCGGCCUGAGAGGGCGACCGGCCACAGUGGGACUGAGAGACGGCCCAGACUCCGACGGGAGGCAGCAGUGGGGAAUAUUGCACAAUGGGCGGAAGCCUGAUGCAGCAACGCCGCGGGCGGGAUGACGGCCUUCGGGUUGUAAACCGCUUUCAGCAGGGGCGAAGCUUGUGGUGACGGUACCUGCAGAAGAAGCACCGGCUAACUACGUG